This 253-nucleotide ribosomal RNA is filed under the name uncultured bacterium. RNAcentral's name for it is "partial 16S ribosomal RNA". It matches the Rfam family "Bacterial small subunit ribosomal RNA", at positions 524 to 776 of the family's 1533-position model. The record is from RNAcentral.
UACGAAGGGGGCUAGCGUUGUUCGGAAUUACUGGGCGUAAAGCGCGCGUAGGCGGCGAUCUAUGUCAGGGGUGAAAUCCCGGGGCUCAACUCCGGAAUUGCCUUUGAAACGGGAUCGCUAGAGUCCGAGAGAGGAUGGCGGAAUUCCUAGUGUAGAGGUGAAAUUCGUAGAUAUUAGGAAGAACACCGGUGGCGAAGGCGGCCAUCUGGCUCGGUACUGACGCUCAGGCGCGAAAGCGUGGGGAGCAAACAGG